RNAcentral lists this ribosomal RNA (442 nucleotides) under uncultured Aminobacterium sp. RNAcentral's name for it is "partial 16S ribosomal RNA". The record is from RNAcentral. Lineage: Bacteria; Thermotogati; Synergistota; Synergistia; Synergistales; Aminobacteriaceae.
GACUACCGGGGUAUCUAAGCCCGUUCGCUCCCCUGGCUUUCGCGCCUCAGCGUCAGUUGCUGGCCAGUAAGCCGCCUUCGCCACUGGUGUUCUUCCCGAUAUCUACGCAUUUCACCGCUACACCGGGAAUUCCGCCUACCUCUCCAGCACUCUAGAUACCCAGUUUCAACCGCAUACAUGAGUUGAGCUCAUGCCUUUUACAGCUGACUUAAAUAUCCGCCUGCGCGCCCUUUACGCCCAGUAAUUCCGGACAACGCUCGUCCCCUACGUAUUACCGCGGCUGCUGGCACGUAGUUAGCCGGGACUUCCUCGUAUGGUACCGUCACUUCCUUCUUCCCAUACAACAGAGGUUUACGACCCAAAGGCCUUCUUCCCUCACGCGGCGUCGCUGGGUCAGGCUUGCGCCCAUUGCCCAAUAUUCCCCACUGCAGCCGCCCGUAGG